Molecule: ribosomal RNA, 103 nt
Filed under: Echinostoma caproni
Lineage: Eukaryota; Metazoa; Platyhelminthes; Trematoda; Plagiorchiida; Echinostomatidae
Source: RNAcentral
GGCCGCGAUCAUACCAUGUCGUUUGAUCACCGAAGUUAAGCAACGUCGGGCCCGGUUAGUACUUGCAUGGGUGACCGGCUGGGAAUACCGGGUAUUGCGGCCG